This 223-nucleotide long non-coding RNA is filed under the name Brachypodium distachyon (stiff brome). RNAcentral's name for it is "long non-coding RNA (BDIS_LNC002051)". Lineage: Eukaryota; Viridiplantae; Streptophyta; Magnoliopsida; Poales; Poaceae. The record is from RNAcentral.
GGCAAGAUUCAUGCUGUCCUGAGGAUGAUGCCUGACGGGUCAUCAAGAGUUUGUUUGGGCUGAUCAGACUUGUUUGAUCUUAUGGCUGUAAUAGGAUGUUAAACUCUCCUGUUUUGCUGUUUCCUGGUUCGAACUUGUGCUGGUUGUUUCCCUGUAACGCUGGUAUCCCCAGCAGACGACUUAUUCGUCUUUCUAUAAAGCUGGGCCUAAAAAUGCCUUUUAU